ACAUGCAAGUCGAACGGAACCUUCGGGUUUAGUGGCGAACGGGUGAGUAAAGCGCAGGUAAUCUGCCGCAAAGUUGGGGACAACGUUCCGAAAGGGACGCUAAUACCGAAUGUUGUAAGUGAAUCGCAUGGUUUGCUUAUUAAAGAUUUAUCGCUUUGCGAGGAGCCUGCGUCCGAUUAGCUGGUUGGUAGUGUAAGGGACUACCAAGGCGACGAUCGGUAGCCGGUCUGAGAGGAUGAACGGCCACAAUGGAACUGAGACACGGUCCAUACUCCUACGGGAGGCAGCAGUGGGGAAUAUUCCACAAUGGGGGAAACCCUGAUGGAGCGACGCCGCGUGAGUGAAGAAGGGCUUCGGCUCGUAAAGCUCUUUUGUCUUUGACGAAUGCUCUGUUAGACAGAGAGAGACGGUAGAAGGCGAAUAAGCCACGGCUAACUACGUGCCAGCAGCCGCGGUAAUACGUAGGUGGCAAGCGUUGUCCGGAAUUAUUGGGCGUAAAGGGAGCGCAGGCGGGAUGGCAAGUCCAAAUUAAAAGUGCGGGAGUAAUGCCCGUGAGGGUUUGGAAACU
RNAcentral lists this ribosomal RNA (568 nucleotides) under uncultured rumen bacterium. RNAcentral describes it as "bacterial SSU rRNA". It matches the Rfam family "Bacterial small subunit ribosomal RNA", at positions 53 to 634 of the family's 1533-position model. The record is from RNAcentral.